RNAcentral lists this long non-coding RNA (1088 nucleotides) under Cyanistes caeruleus (blue tit). Its description in RNAcentral is "lncRNA (ENSCCEG00000023687.1)". Lineage: Eukaryota; Metazoa; Chordata; Aves; Passeriformes; Paridae. The record is from RNAcentral.
ACAUGAAGGUUCCCCUGAAACAACCACAAAUGUGCAGCUUCCCAGAAAAUAUGAGGAAAACUAAGCUAAAGGAAGUGAAGCUGGAAUUGGAGAGUUAAGAUUUCUGAUGAAUGACAGACUUCCAGUGGUACCAAUUAACCCUCAGCUAAUUGUUUUAAACCGGUUGUGUAAAACACGGCUUCUUGUAACAUAAUUAUUACUUCUUGGUCGUGGUGCUUUUCUGUCAUCUGUGCAGUGUGACCCCAUUGAUUCCCAAGCAGCUAUAUUUAGCUUCCAGCUCAAAAUGAGAGGACAGUACAAAUAUUUGAGAGUAAGGAAUGAGAUCCCUCAGAUUUAAAGGAACACAAACAUCUCAUCCUAUUGCUUAGAGAUCGGCUCUCUUGAGGCGUAUGUCAGAGGACCACUCCUGUUUAAACAACUCUCUAUGUGUAAUCUGUAUUUAAAAAUAGGUGUGAAAAAGUGUUUGCAUAACGUAGCAUGGGCUGCUCUGAACAUCAGCUCUUGAAUGGUAUUUUUCUUGCAAAGCUGAGAAAUUGUUUUUCUUUUUAGUAGACAGGGGAAAUUAGAACUGGACCAGUGUAUGUAGAAGGUCGGGCUACAGCGACAGAACACCAGCUCCCCAACUUCCAACCAGCACCUCAGAUGCAGGAGUUGGAGUUAGAAGAUUCAGACAUCAAGUGAAACAGUGAAAGAUGAUAAGAAAACUCUUCAUUCUCACAAGGCCUGAAAUUGGAAAUUAUUUAAAACCUAACAAACCCCAGAGUUUAUCCCUGUUCUUUGAGUAGCAACAGAAGUAUGGCUGUCAUGGUUUGACACAUCAAUGAAGAACAGCCUCUGCUCUGCAGCAGGUACUCAAGUGGAACUUUUGCAAGUGGGCUCUCAUCAGGAGUGAAACACUGGCUGCUGACUCUGCUGCUUUUGCUCACAGACUGCUGCCUUUAGGAACCAGCCAUCUCUUCAGGGACUACUUUAAAUCCCAGAAUGUUCAAGAGCCAUCACUGUACAAACAGAAGCUCCAACUGAACGAAACCAGAAGAAGUGGAUAUGGCAAAUUCUCUGGUCCAAGUGGUGAUAUUAAUCUGCAGUAG